Oryctolagus cuniculus (rabbit) is the source of this 1109-nucleotide non-coding RNA. Lineage: Eukaryota; Metazoa; Chordata; Mammalia; Lagomorpha; Leporidae. The record is from RefSeq and is a predicted model, not a curated record.
GGAGGGGACGCGCCUCCUAGAAGCCUUCUAGAAUCCGUCCCGGCCCCUCCCACCCUCACCCCAGACUUUCUAAACUUAGGGUGGAAAGCCAUAUUAUCCGUCUUCAGGCACCCUGUGGACUUAAAACAAAGGUUUGUAGUAUUGUACCUGUCCUAUGACUCAGUGGGCGGACGUUGUAUGCGUAAACAGCUGGGCCCGUGAAAGACGAAUAAAAACAUCAAAACAGCAACCGGAAAAAAAAAAUCAAAGCAGCCCUUCCUUAGAAACGCCGCUUUGAUCCCUGCUUCUGGGAAGUACACAAUUGCUUUAGAAAUAGAUCUUGCCUACCCCAUUAACAUUUUCCCUGCUCCAGCCCUUUUCAUCUCAAGGCACCGACAAAGGCUCAGUCAUCUCAGAGCCUCUCUAAGGAGGGGAGUGCGCCCUCCUCCAAGGCAAAGCAGAGGAGCUACGGAGGCUGCGGAGGUCCCGGAUCCCACAGCUUCUCCUGCCGCUUCCAGCUAAGCCGCCUCUCCCAACCCCCGCUGCUCCUGCCUUCCCCUCUUCGCUUCCUUCUUAUCCUGUCCCCUCUGGUGCCAGCUGCCGGACCUGGCUUUUCUGCUGAAUCACCACCCAGGUCGUAGUUCAGCCAAGAAGCCUGAACAGCCAGCUCAGCGUUUUCCAAAAGCUGAGUAGUUCUCUUUUCAGCAGAGGCACGUGGUUCUGAGCUAGGCGGGGCUGGGGGAGAAGAGGAGAACUAGACACCCGGAAAAGCCAGGGGUGACACAGGUGACGAGCCACACGACCUCCCGGAGCCUCGUUUUCACCCUACUCAUUGCUUUUCGGCCCUAUUUCGGGCCCUAGGGCAGGGCUGAUGCCCCCCAGAUACGGAGCAAGGUGGAUGGGCUCCCUGCUAAUGCUCCUGGGAAAGGACUAGAAGAUGGCCCAAGUACGUGGGACCCUGCCAUCCAUGUGGGAGACCCAAAUGGAUCCAAGGCUCCUGCUUUCAGCCUGGCCCAGCCCCAGCUGUUGUGGCUAUUUGGGGAGUGAACCAGUGGAUACAAGAUCUCUCCCCUCUCCUUCUCUGUAACUCUGCCUUUUAAAUAAAUACAUAAAUAAAAAUCUUAAAAAGA